AGUGAACGCUGGCGGUAGGCCUAACACAUGCAAGUCGAACGGCAGCACAGUAAGAGCUUGCUCUUACGGGUGGCGAGUGGCGGACGGGUGAGGAAUACAUCGGAAUCUACUUUUUCGUGGGGGAUAACGUAGGGAAACUUACGCUAAUACCGCAUACGACCUACGGGUGAAAGCAGGGGAUCUUCGGACCUUGCGCGAUUGAAUGAGCCGAUGCCGGAUUAGCUAGUUGGCGGGGUAAAGGCCCACCAAGGCGACGAUCCGUAGCUGGUCUGAGAGGAUGAUCGGCCACACUGGAACUGAGACACGGUCCAGACUCCUACGGGAGGCAGCAGUGGGGAAUAUUGGGCAAUGGGCGCAAGCCUGAUCCAGCCAUACCGCGUGAGUGAAGAAGGCCUUCGGGUUGUAAAGCCCUUUUGUUGGGAAAGAAAAGCAGCAGGUGAAUACCCCGCUGUUCUGACGGUACCCAAAGAAUAAGCACCGGCUAACUUCGUG
Molecule: ribosomal RNA, 492 nt
Filed under: uncultured bacterium
Lineage: Bacteria
Description: partial 16S ribosomal RNA
Rfam family: Bacterial small subunit ribosomal RNA
Source: RNAcentral